GGGCUGAUCGUCCAACGGGAAGACACCGCCCUGGCGUGGCGGCCAGUGUUCCAAAAGACGCGGCGGGUUCGAUUCCCGGUCGGUCCA
RNAcentral lists this transfer RNA (87 nucleotides) under Planctomycetaceae bacterium. Its description in RNAcentral is "tRNA-Ala". It matches the Rfam family "tRNA". From Rfam's summary of the family: Transfer RNA (tRNA) molecules are approximately 80 nucleotides in length. The record is from RNAcentral. Lineage: Bacteria; Pseudomonadati; Planctomycetota; Planctomycetia; Planctomycetales; Planctomycetaceae.